UACGUAGGCAGCGAGCGUUGUUCGGAAUUACUGGGCGUAAAGAGUGUGUAGGCGGUGCUCUAAGUUCGGUGUGAAAUCUCCUGGCUCAACUGGGAGGGUGCGCCGAAAACUGGAAGGCUUGAGUAUGGGAGAGGUAAGCGGAAUUCCUGGUGUAGCGGUGAAAUGCGUAGAUAUCAGGAGGAACACCUGCGGUGUAGACGGCUUACUGGACCAUAACUGACGCUGAGGCACGAAAGCGUGGGUAGCAAACAGG
Molecule: ribosomal RNA, 253 nt
Filed under: uncultured bacterium
Lineage: Bacteria
Description: partial 16S ribosomal RNA
Rfam family: Bacterial small subunit ribosomal RNA
Source: RNAcentral